UACGAAGGACCCGAGCGUUAUCCGGAUUUAUUGGGUUUAAAGGGUGCGUAGGCGGACUAGUAAGUCAGUGGUGAAAGCCCAUCGCUUAACGGUGGAACUGCCAUUGAUACUGCUAGUCUUGAGUAUGGUUGAGGUGGGCGGAAUGUGUCAUGUAGCGGUGAAAUGCUUAGAUAUGACCCAGAACACCAAUUGCGAAGGCAGCUCGCUAAGCCAUAACUGACGCUGAGGCACGAAAGCGUGGGGAUCAAACAGG
Molecule: ribosomal RNA, 253 nt
Filed under: uncultured bacterium
Lineage: Bacteria
Description: partial 16S ribosomal RNA
Rfam family: Bacterial small subunit ribosomal RNA
Source: RNAcentral